Molecule: long non-coding RNA, 512 nt
Organism: Miniopterus natalensis
Lineage: Eukaryota; Metazoa; Chordata; Mammalia; Chiroptera; Miniopteridae
Source: RefSeq, a predicted model, not a curated record
AGCACCUUGGUUCAGAAAGAAGCGUCGGUAGCGGUACCGCCGUUUCCAGAGUCAGUUUAUGGAAGCGUUUGGUAGCGGCAAGUGGUGUUGCCUCUAACUUGAGGUUUCAGGUAGUGGGCCGGCUGAGGUUUCAUCUCUGUUAAUAAAUAGCUGUAUGACCUCAGAUCGGCCAAUUUCCUCUCAGAUUCCUCCUCUGUAAAUUAAAGGUUUCUACACUAUGCUCAUGAGGUUUUUUCUUAGCACCCACUUUCUAAUUCUAAAUUUAAUAUCUACUGUAGAUGUAUGACUUUAGGAGCUCUUUAGAUCUGGAGAGUUCGAAGAACAAAAUGUCAUCCAAACAUACCAUGUCAUGGAAGUGAUAUUUAUUUGCUCAUGCCCCAAUGUGGCCUUUAUUAUGAUGAGCUCAGAGAGCAUCUGAUAUGUCAUCUCAAACACAAUAAACAUGUUCCUGAAGGCAUAAAAAAAAAGCAGGACUACCUCCCAGAAACUUGCAUUUUAAAAGAUGGCCCAAA